AUGAGGAACUGUAUUCAAUUUUAAGAAGUCAUUACAAUGUAAAUACUCCUUUAUUACCUGCUGACACUUGGGAGUGACUAAUUAGCAUCCAGCUGAGAGCAAGGCCCUGGGAAAGACAGGUGAGAUUUGAAGAGGAGUUGGAUGGAGGGAGGGAUGGGAGAGGUCCUAGGACCUAGGUGAUACUCUGUCUCCUCCUCAGCUCCCCUGUCGGGAGGACUCCAGAGAAACCACUACCAGCCUUAGGCAUGUCUUAAAGCCCCUCCUCACCCUGGGAACCAGGAACCUCACCCUCCACAUCCCUGCUCUCAGCCCAGGAUCUUGGCUACACCUGCCAUACCAUAGGCACUGCCCCGCUGGGGAAGGGUUCCUGCGAACGGUUAGCACUUGGAUGUUGGCACCAACCAAUGCAGCUCUACUCCUGAUGUCCCUCUACACCACCCCCAUCUCAGAGCCCUGCCACCCCGAACUUCACUCCCAAUCUGCUACCCAGAUUGUCUCCUGCCUUCUCAGCAGAGGCCAUGUCCUCCUCCCUCAGACUGUACGACCUUUGAGGGUGAGAGCUCUCCUUUCUCCCUGGGUGGUCCUUGGGAGGAGGUUGUGUACUUCCACCGCUGGCACUGAUUCAGGGCAGGGCUCAGUCUUCCCACUCAGAGUGGGGGCUCCCUGGGGGCCUCUCCUGCCUCAGUCUAUCUCUAGACCCUGCUUCAGACCUCUCGGCCCAGAAUGCAGAGGAAGGGAGACACGUGCCCUCAUCCCAGCUCCUCAGGGAUCGAAGAUUGGGGAGAAUCCCAUCAAGCCAGCAAAGAAAGGAGAUGAGCAGGUCAGCUUUCAGUGUUGCCAAGAGCUGGCAUGGUGUGAUCCCUCAAUUGGCAAUUAUUGGUAAGCUACUCAGAGCCAGGUCUAAUCCAACUAAUACGGACUAUUCCUACAACCUCACCUCAGCAAUUUAGCUGGAUUUGCACGUAGCUACAGUCAAAAGAGGCACAAAUCUGACUCCAGUGGCAGCUAAGCUUUUCUUAAAGGGCUCAAUCUAGGGAUUUAA
This is a long non-coding RNA of Myotis brandtii (Brandt's bat), 1042 nucleotides long. RefSeq lists it as uncharacterized. The record is from RefSeq and is a predicted model, not a curated record. The transcript is spliced from 2 exons. NCBI's taxonomy places the organism in Eukaryota, Metazoa, Chordata, Mammalia, Chiroptera, Vespertilionidae.